CAGCUGACUCUACAGUUAUUGUUGCCUGUAGGCUACACCUUUGUUUUAGUGCACAAACUAGUUCCAGUUAUGUGCUUACUAAAAGAAAAUUACUCUCCCAAUUUAAGAAAGAGCGUUUUAGAAAAGAUGAAAGCUUUUAAACUGUAUUGAAGAAAAUACAGUUGUAAAAGGAAAAUUAACAAAAACCUAGUUCAAGAAAGAAACCCCAAAAGUGGAAACCGAGAUGCAGUGCACUUUAGAGCCUCAGAACCUCCUCCAGGCAGAGUAAGACAAUGAAAACUGAAUACAAGAAUCUGCCAUCACAACUGUGGGUGAGGUUUGGUUCCGGAAGCACAGCCAGUCCAGGUUCUUGGGGUAACACUGUGGCAAAAUUCCAGUAAGACACAUCCACUGCACCUUCCUGUUCUCAUUCCCGACUGGUCUGCUGUUUUUCAUCCUUCAAUCUGAUGAUAACACUGGAUGCAUGGGAGCCACUCUGUCUUCCUGCGCCAUGCGGGGCCACAGCUAAACCCUGAGACCUAACGCUGUCCUGUUCAGUACAGAAGGCAUUCACCACUGAUGUCUGUGGAGCACUUUAAAUGUACCCAGUUGGAUUUUAGCUGUGCUGCAAGUGUAAAAUACAUACCAGAUUUUGAAGACUUAAAUGAAAAGAAAAAAAG
Molecule: long non-coding RNA, 659 nt
Filed under: Felis catus (domestic cat)
Lineage: Eukaryota; Metazoa; Chordata; Mammalia; Carnivora; Felidae
Description: lncRNA (ENSFCAG00000045980.2)
Source: RNAcentral